This 48-nucleotide ribosomal RNA is filed under the name Phellinus punctatus. RNAcentral describes it as "partial 28S ribosomal RNA". The record is from RNAcentral. Lineage: Eukaryota; Fungi; Basidiomycota; Agaricomycetes; Hymenochaetales; Hymenochaetaceae.
AGACUGUCUGCUUCUAAUAGUCCGCCUAUAUGUCGGACAGGUACUCUG